GUGAGGACUCGGGAGGUGGAGGGUGGCACUGCCAGGGCCAGGGCGCUGUCUCAGCUCGAUUCUCCCCCCACCUCCUCUCUCCUCAG
Tursiops truncatus (common bottlenose dolphin) is the source of this 86-nucleotide microRNA precursor. Ensembl annotates it as microRNA 1224. Lineage: Eukaryota; Metazoa; Chordata; Mammalia; Artiodactyla; Delphinidae. The record is from Ensembl.